This 8604-nucleotide long non-coding RNA is filed under the name Ananas comosus (pineapple). RNAcentral describes it as "long non-coding RNA (ACOM_LNC030226)". Lineage: Eukaryota; Viridiplantae; Streptophyta; Magnoliopsida; Poales; Bromeliaceae. The record is from RNAcentral.
AUUUAUUUCCGUGAGUUGCUUCGUGAUGUUUGCCAGAAGUUUUCAAUGUCAGCUCUGAGAUACGAUAUUUCAUAUGAAAAUGUCGAAUUGUUUAAGUGUUACAUCGAUGUUGAAAUUCCUAGAGGGGAGUUUGUUAUAGAGGCCAUUAGGUGUUAGGAAUUCCAAUCGCUUUUAAGGUGAAAGACGCAAAUUUGGAGGAUAAGAAGUUCUUUGAGAAUUGCUAUGAUCCUUAUGUGUUAUAGUAACUGUAAAUUGGUCUACUUCUUGUUUAUAUAUUUUUUUUAUUUACUAUUGGCACUUUUGCUCUGAUAUAUGUUCUUUAGUUAUGAUGAUAUUGCCUCUUGAAAAAUAAGCUACUUUUUAGCUGAUUAGGAACAAAGAGUUUCCUUUAUGCAUUUUGAAAACUAUGAGCUGUUUGGUGUUUCCUUGAAUUUACUUGCAGUUUUCAAUUUCAGGACUAAUGUGCCGUCUAAUUCUAGUAUUGUUGUAUUUAUCCAAUUCUGUUAUUUAUCUAGGAUAUCAAGUUAUUAUUACUACACCUAUUGCUACUUUUUUGCUUCCUAUGAAUUGUUGAUUUUGCUUUUUAGCAUAUUUGGGUAUGUGAAUUAGUGUUUGGAUUGCCUAUUGUGCUCACAGAUUGCUUCUUGGCUCCUGUAGAAUACUGGAUCUUGGUAAAUGAACAAGGUUAUAGUAUGUGUUGCUAGUCAACAUGUACUUACAGGGUUUUAGUGAAUUGAAAACACGUUUUGGCGCGAAAUGGAUGCGAAAACAAACUCAAAAACUCUAGCCCUAUAAAGACAUGCUGUCUAACAACACAUACUGUAACCUUGUCUAUUUGUCAUGGUCCAGUAUUCUACAUCAGUCCUUCAAAAGCUGUAAUUUGAAUUUUUCAGUUCGUUUUUGCAUCCAUUAUGCCCCAUCCAAUUGUUACAUCUGCCAAGUACAGUUAGGGAUUAGGAGUUGAAGCAGGAGUCAAGUAAUUGCAUAACAGAGUAAAUAAGAGGAUCAGGUAGGGUCUUAGCUUUUCAAUGUUGGCAGCUUGGACUCGGAGGCGAAGCGAGAGCCGAAAGCCCUUCGACUGGAGCGGAGAUCAGGCAAGAAGGCGUGAGAAGGGGACGUUGGCGGAGCAUGGGAGAUUUGGACCUUGGGCGUACCGACAGGGAGACUGGGAUCAUCCGACAGCUUGACAGCUUGUAGGCGGGUCGGAUGGUCCGAGUCUCGGGUCGGAGUGAAAUAGCGAACCCAGGGCCCGCAGAGUUGCGGAUAGUGCGAAGAAGAGUGGAUCCGACACCACUUACCCGAUGCAUGCAUUCUUGGGCCGGGGACCCAAUCAGAGCCCAAUUAGCACCACAAUUGUCGUAGAUAUGGAGGCCCAUUGGCUUGAACUCACAGCCUCUUUUAGGAAUUAGAUAUUUAUUUUCUAGAGGAAAAUAAAAGGCAGAUUGUAACUCCAAAAACAAGUAAUGAGAAUUAUGAUAAUUUCUUCUCCAUCUUGUAUCUCUCUCUCAACCCUAAUUCUCUCUCUCUUUCUCAUCUUCUUCUUCUUGUUUCUUAUCAUCUCUUCUCUUAUCCUCUCUAUUCUCCUUUUCUUUACUUUAAAUUAUUGUGUUGCAUUCCUGAUUUAUUGUGAGCGGCCAUAAUUGGAACCCAUCAUCCCCAACGUCGUCCAUCGUUUCAGCGAAGUAUUAUCAUCAACGGGUUGCGUUGAGUCAGGUAUGUAACAAUUGGUAUCAGAGCGGUUCGAUCCCAGGGCUUUGUGUGGUAAUAUAGCUUCCGAACUCCAAUCUCGGCAUUGUUGAGUUUAAUCGCGACAAGGAUUUCUGCGUUGCCGAUUCUGAACCGAGAUCAGAGUUGGACAAAAGAAAUCACCACAUAAUAAUCCUAAGACUGAGUACCUGAUCUGAGGAAAAACUCCCUCAUUCCUCAGAUUAUAUCACCCACGAGCACAAUAGAUCAUCCGAGGCAAAUCAAGGCAUCAGUCGACUCAAUAGGGAACCACCUUAAUCAGGUUUUUUUCCUCAGAACGACAAAAUUCGGGGGAGGCGAGGCAACAAGUUUAAGUUUAACCCAAAAGAGUAUCUGGAAGAUAUAGAUAUGGCAGAAGGGACCCGGCUAAGGGAUAUUAGUGAUCAUAUCCAUUCUUUAGAAGAGAAGUACCAGCGGUUGGGAACGGAUCAUUAGGCCAAUAUAGAUACACUUACCCAACAAAUUGCCGAAGUGAGAGAACCGGACAGAGACAGUUUGAAUCGCUACAAGCCGAAGCCAACAAGAGACAUGAGGAGCUACUGAAGCUUAUAACCGCCCAGGCGCCUACAUUCAAGAAUCAAGGCGAGGCACCUUCUAUUGACCGCAAGUUUAAUCCUGGAAGUAGUAGCACGCCAUUAACGAUCAGAGAAGGGAAGGGCAAAGGAAUUUUACCAACUCCCAGCAUGCCACAAGAGACAGAGGAAGAGCACACUUCGCCGUGGGGUCAUCAAAAUUUCAAUCAUCACCAGCAUUUACCAUACCCUCAGUUGGACUUUCCGUCAUUCGAUGGAGAAGAUCCCAGGAGUUGGAUCGAAAAUUGCGAACAAUACUUCUAGUUAUAUCAGAUACCUCAACAUCAAUGGUUGAGUGUAGCGACGAUGCAUUUGAUCGGUAAGGCGAAGACAUGGAAGCAAGGCUAUUUCGUCAAUAAACAGAUAUGGUUUCUUGGGACGAAUUUACUGAAGCAGUGUGUCGAAGAUUUGCGCAAAUAGGGGAAAGAUACCUGAUCCGAGAAUUUAGCAACUUGAGACACACAGGAACAUGUGAGAAAUAUCAAGAACGGUUUGAGGAGUUAAGGUAUCAACUACUAUACUACAAUCCUCAUUUAACUGAAGAAUACUUUAUCGCGUGCUAUAUUAACGGACUCAAGGAGGAGUUGAUUCAUUUCCUGGACAUUGCGCAUCCGAACACAUUGGAAGAGACUUAUGAGCAAGCACAGUUGCAUGAGAAGGCCAUAACCGCACUUAACAAAAGAAACAAAUAUUUGCCCAAGAGGUCGGGAGGUCAGUACUAGUCAACUUCGUCAUACCGAGGCAACAUUGAAACUGGGAUCAAUAAGGUUAGUGAAGAUCAAAAACCUUCGCACCAAACCUCACAAAGAAAUCAGGUGAAUCAAUACACAACCAACAGGCAGUUAAUGGAACAAAGGAGAGCAGCAGGACUGUGUUUCAAGUGCGGAGAAAAGUAUUACCCGAGACAUAUAUGCGUAAAUAAAUCAUUACAUGCUUUACAGGCCACCGAGGAAAUAAUGGAAGUUUACGAUGAAGAUUGUUUGCAAGAAAAAACGGGGGAAGAAGGAGUUAUAGGAGGGGAAGAGCAAGGGUCAAGGGUUAUACUUGAUGGUGAGGAAGCACAGGAAAUAGGAGUUUCAGUCCACGUGCUGAGUGGAGAGAAGCCUCAAGACACCAUUAAGAUACGGGGCGAAGCAAAGAAUAAAACACUCACCCUUUUAAUCGAUACCGGGAGCACGCAUAGUUUCAUCGACCUACGGGUAGCCAAGGAAAUUGGAGCGAGGAUGGAAGCGGCCUCACCUCUGGUGGUAACUAUAGCUGAUGGACACAAAAUGUUGAGCAAACUCAAGUGUCCUGAAUUCUCAUGGACUAUGCAAGGGCAGAGGUUUGUAACAGAGUUAAGGGUAAUUGAAUUGAAGGUGUCAGCGUUGUGUUAGGCAUUGACUGGCUUAAAUCUUAUGGGAAGGUAACCUUCGAUUUUUCGCUAAAUUCGAUCACCAUCAUCAAGGAAGUGCAGAAGUUAGAGUUGAAGGGAAUUGAAGAAGGAUCCACAUUAAAAAUGAUAUCGGCAGCACAAUGGAGGCAGGAAAUCGAGACCGGGGAAUGCUAUCUUUUAAAUCACCAGUUAGAAUCAGAUGAAGCAAGUUUGGAAGUGAUUAUACAUCCAAGGAUACCACUAUUGCUGGAUGAGUUUCAGGAUGUGUUCGAGGAGCCAAGACAGUUGCCUCCUCCUCGGAUUCACGACCAUAAAAUUCCCUUGCAUCCCAACACCACCUCGGUGAAUAUAAGGCCCUACAGGUACUCGCAUGCGCAAAAGGAAGAGAUCGAAAAACAGAUUAGGGAAUUGUUAACCCACUCUAUAAUACAACGGAGCAAUAGUCCAUUCGCUUCUCCGGCCUUGUUGGUUAAGAAAAAAGAUGGAAGUUGGAGAAUGUGUAUUGAUUAUCGCCAACAUAACAAGUGCACUGUGAAGGACAAGUUUCCCAUACCAAUUAUAGAUGAUAUGCUAGAUGAUUUGAAUGGCUCAAGGUAUUUUUCUAAGAUAGAUCUGCGAUCGGGUUACCACCAAAUACGAAUGGACCCUUCUGAUGUCUCGAAAACAGCCUUCCGAACUCAUCACGGUCAUUAUGAGUUUCGGGUCAUGCCGUUCGGCCUUACCAACGCCCUAGCGACGUUCCAAGCCGUCAUGAACUGUACGUUUGAACCUUACUUACGAAAAUUCAUUUUAGUAUUUUUUGAUGAUAUUCUAAUCUAUAGUAAAAGUCUAGAGGAGCAUGUGACGCAUUUGCGCAUCACACUAGAAGAAUUGCGCAGGCACAGAUUCUAUGCUAAAAGAAGUAAAUGUUACUUCGGGCAGAACCAGGUUGAGUACCUGGGUCACAUAAUUUUUGACAAGGGAGUUGCCACCGACCCUUCCAAGAUCGAAGCUAUGGUUCAAUGGCCGGUACCCAAAUCUGUUAAGGAGCUUCGUGGGUUCUUGGGACUUACUAGAUAUUAUAGAAAAUUCAUCAGCGGAUACGGGAAAACUAGCAAACUAUUAACCGAGCUUUUGAAGAAGGAUCACUUUCAUUGGAGUGGAGAGGCCCAAUCAGCAUUUGAAGAAUUAAAGAGGGCCAUGACUAAGGCUCCAGUGCUAGCUAUGCCGGGUUUCGGUAAGCCUUUUACUAUAGAGGUUGAUGCGUGCGGCACCGGGAUAGGAGCAGUAAUGUCCCAAGAGGGGAGGCCAAUAGCAUAUUUGAGUAAAGCGAUCGGCGGAAGGCAUCUUGGGUUGUCAACGUACGAAAAAGAAUUUUUAGCUAUACUUAUGGCAGUGCAAAAGUGGCGGCACUAUUUGAGUGCUAAUCCCUUUGUGAUUAAAACAGAUCAUGAGAGUCUGAAACACCUCUUGGAGCAAAAGAUAUCAACGCCCAUGCAACAGAAAGGGAUGUUGAAGAUGAUGGGGCUGAAUUACACCAUUUUGUAUAAGAAGGGGAGAGAAAACGCCGCGGCAGAUGCACUAUCUAGAAGAGAAGAAUCGGAAGGUCUUUCUUUAGCCAUAUCUGCGGCAGUACCAUUCUGGGUACAAGAGGUGGUGGAAAGUUACAAGGGAGAUCGACACUGCGAGAAGAUGAUAAGCGAACUAAUUGUACAACCUACCACCCAGGGGCACUACACGUAUGGCCAUGAAUUAUUACGCUACAAGGGUAAGCUAUAUAUUGGAGAGACCGGCUCAUUAAGGAGACAAAUUCUGGACCAGAUGCAUAGUUCAGCCUUGGGAGGCCACUCGGGUAUACAGAACACUCACCGAAGGGUUAAACAACAUUUCUUUUGGCUCGGAAUGAAGAAGGAAAUUGAAGAAUGGGUAAAAAAUUGCACUGUCUGUGCUCAGAAUAAGGUGGAUGGAACUCCUUACUCUGGCUUAUUGCAACCUUUACCUAUCCCACACCAGGUUUGGGAGGACGUAAGCAUGGAUUUCAUAGAAUCUUUACCCAAGUCAGAAGGGAGAGAUACAAUAUUGGUGGUGGUCGAUCGGCUCACCAAAUAUGCGCAUUUCAUAUCGCUGAAACAUCCCUUUUCUGCUUUAGAUGUGGCUAAGGCUUUUAUGGAUACUGUAUGUAAGCUUCAUGGAUGUCCGAGGAGAAUAGUAUCGGAUAGAGAUAAAAUUUUCGUAAGCCAGUUUUGGAAAGAACUCUUUCAGUCAAUGGGAACAAAGCUGCACAUGAGUUCAGCCUAUCAUCCAGAAUCUGACGGUCAGACAGAGAGAGUUAACAGAUGCUUGGAAACAUACUUGAGAUGUAUGUGUUUCCAACAUGCCAAGAAGUGGCAUUCCUGGCUAUCACUGGCCGAAUGGUGGUAUAACACGAGUUUUCACUCAUCUAUAGGCAUGACUCCAUACGAAGCAUUAUACGGACAGCCACCUCCUAAUUACCUGGUGGCCCCCGCGGACACGGUUACCUCUCAGGAAGUUAAAGAAUGGGCCGCAGACAGGGAGCAGUUAACACGGGAACUGAGGGAUCGACUAAAGGUAGCUCAGAAUAGGAUGAAACAACAAGUGGACAAGCACCGAAGGGAGAAAGAGUUUGCUGUAGGGGAUUGGGUUUAUCUAAAAUUACAACCCUAUAGGCAGACCACGGUGGCAGUAAGAAAACAUGUUAAGCUGGCCGCGAGAAUUUUUGGUCCUUUUCAGAUUCUGGAGCGAAUAGGACCGGUCGCUUAUAAGUUGCAGUUACCUGACGGAUCGAGAGUUCACCCAAUGUUCCAUGUGUCUCUUUUGAAGAAAGGCCCUCCAACCUCGGUUCCAGCUUCCCCGAUGGCACCUAUGGUAGGAGAAGACGAUGAAUUGCUAGUCGAGCCAGAAAAAAUCUUGGAUAGGAGGGUGAUGAAGCGCGGAAAUAGGGCCGCCACUGAAGUGUUGGUUAAAUGGGCAAAUCUACCAGAAGACCGCGCGACUUGGGAGGAUUAUUGGCUUAUCAAGAGUCAAUUUCCUUCUUUUGAUCCUUGAGGGCAAGGAUCGGAUUAAGAGGGGAGGAUUGUUACAUCUGCCAAGUACAGUUAGGGAUUAGGAGUUGAAGCAGGAGUCAAGUAAUUGCAUAACAGAGUAAAUAAGAGGAUCAGGUAGGGUCUUAGCUUUUCAAUGUUGGCAGCUUGGACUCGGAGGCGAAGUGAGAGCCGAAAGCCCUUCGGUUGGAGCGGAGAUCAGGCAAGAAGGCGUGAGAAGGGGAGGUUGGCGGAGCAUGGGAGAUUUGGACCUUGGGCGUACCGACAGGGAGACUGGGAUCAUCCGACAGCUUGACAGCUUGUAGGCGGGUCGGAUGGUCCGAGUCUCGGGUCGGAGUGAAAUAGCGAACCCAGGGCCGGCAGGGUUGCGGAUAGUGCGAAGAAGAGUGGAUCCGACACCACUUACCCGAUGCAUGCAUUCUUGGGCUGGGGACCCAAUCAGAGCCCAAUUAGCACCACAAUUGUCGUAGAUAUGGAGGCCCAUUGGCUUGAACUCACAGCCUCUUUUAGGAAUUAGAUAUUUGUUUUCUAGCUUUUAGGAAUUAGAUAUUUGUUUUCUAGAGGAAAAUAAAAGGCAGAUUGUAACUCCAAAAACAAGUAAUGAGAAUUAUGAUAAUUUCUUCUCCAUCUCGUAUCUCUCUCUCAACCCUAAUUCUCUCUCUCUUUCUCCCUUCUUAUUCUUCUUUCUUAUCAUCUCUUCUCUUAUCCUCUCUAUCCUCCUUUUCUUUACUUUAAAUUAUUGUGUUGCAUUCCUAAUUUAUUGUGAGCGGCCAUAAUUGGAACCCAUCAUCCCCAACGCCGUCCAUCGUUUCAGCGAAGUAUCAUCAUCAACGGGUUGCGUUGAGUCAGGUAUGUAACACCAAUUCACUCAAGCCCUAUAAGGACAUGCUGUCUAACAACACAUAAUGUAACCUUGUCUAUUUGUCAUGGUCCAGUAUUCUACAUCAGUCUUCCAUAGGCUGUAAUUUGAAUUUUUCAGUUCGUUUUUGCGUCCAUUAUGCCCCAUCCCAUUCACUCAAGCCCUAUAAGGACAUGCUGUCUAACAACACAUACUGUAACCUUGUCUAUUUGUCAUGGUCCAGUAUUCUACAUCAAUCCUCCAUAAGCUGUAAUUUGAAUUUUUCAGUUCGUUUUUGCGUCCAUUAUGCCCCAUCCAAUUCACUCAAGCCCUAUAAGGACAUGCUGUCUAACAACACAUACUGUAACCUUGUCUAUUUGUCAUGAUCCAGUAUUCUACAUCAGUCCUUCAUAAGUUGAAAUUUGAAUUUUUGAGUUCGUUUUUGCGUCCAUUAUGCCCCAAAAUAAUCUCCAAUUCACUUAAGCCCUAUAGGUCAUGCUGACUAGCAACACAUACUGUAACCUUAUCUAUUUGCUAAGAUCCAGUAUUCUACAUCAACCAUUAGUCCUCCAUAAGCUGAAAUUUUGAGUUUUUGAGUUCGUUUUCGCGUCCAUUUUGUGUCAAAACGUCUCCAAUUCACUCAAACCCUAUAAGGACAUGUUGACUAGCAACACAUAUUGUAAUUUUGUCUAUUUGCCAAGAUCCAGCAAUCUACAUCAAAUAUCUCUAAUUCACUCAAGUCCUAUAAGAACAUGCUGACUAGCAACACCUACCGUAACCUUGUUUAUUUGUCAAGAUCCAGUAUUCAGUAAGAGAUUCAGUUAGGAGACUGUAGUGUUCUGACAAAAAAAUGAAAAUAGUAUUUUUCUCAAAUGAUGACAGUUUGUAAAUUAAUCGACACGUCAGGAUGCUGUUGGGACUCAGGACGAGUAGGAUUUGUUUUGAGCAUGAAAUGGCCGUUGCAAAUAACUCCGAAACGACAUUCACUUUCAGCUGGAGCAUGUUUGUGUACUAUUGAUGCCACGGGUACAA